CUCAUCCAUUGCUCCUAGUGAGGAAACUGUUUCCCAGUGCCUAUAAGGUAACUGCUAAAGGCCUGGAGGACUGGGAUUUGCUAGUAGCAGUUGACUAAUUGCAGAGCUGCAUGCAGUGAGUGUGUUGAGGACAAUGCCCUGUCCAUGGAGGAAGGGAAGAAGCAUGUGAAACACUGCUAGCCAUUUCUUGUGGGGCCUCCUAAAGGUACCUUGAGAGAGACCUCAUCUCCUGGAAAACCUCCAAGUCCUGCAUCUCUGCAGGGAACUGUGAAAAUCUCCGCCAAGAAGUUCUUCACCUUGACACGUGCAGCAAAGGCGUGCAAGCGAAGCCCUCCCUGAUGGAUGUCUAAGAGAGCAUCGCUGAGACAGGCCUGAUUUGUGUUGCAACACUUCUCUCCGCUAAGGCAGAGCCGUGAGGAGCAGGGUCACUAGCCUGAAACUCAGCUUCGCAGUAACCAGUAGCUGAAGCACAGCACACACGUGGACUGGGAGCAGCAAUAAGCUGCUGAAAACCACUGCAGUCACCCAAGGGUACCUCUGGUCCUCCUGGACCACACAAGGCCAGACUGUGCUACCUGGGUGUUCCUCCAGGUCGCAGCCACCAACAUGCAUGGCCAUGACCCACCCCUAUGCUAUGUGUCUCCAGCCCCCUGUGCCAGCUACUGGGCUGUCCGCCCUGAUUCUGCACUCACAGAGCAUAAUUUAUUUUGAUUAUAAGCCUAAUUCAGUGAUUUUGUUGUAUUUGGAGAUGGAGGGGUUAGGCUAAACAGCUACUUGUCAGAAAAAAGAUUCAAAUUCUUCUUCAAACAUCUAAGGGCAAGACCCACUCAAAUUCAUCCCCUGCCACAGAAAUUCCACUUGCGAGCUGCCCUGCAUAAAUCUGCACAUAACACACUUUUCCAGCAGGCAAUAUUUUGUACGGCUCAGUAUCUGACAGAUACAACCCUUUCAAUGAAAACAGUAUGAAGCUGUCAUGAUUACUUGAGCAGACAUCACUGACAAAAGGAAAUUUGUGCCUGAACUAUUGCUGCAGAAAUAUUUCAGGCAAUAUUUUUUUCAAAGAGAAUACAGAUCUGGAGGGACACUGCCAAGGUUUUAAAGAUCAAAACGUGUGACUUGCAGUGUUAUAAUUGGAUGCGAACAGUCCUCCAGAUCUGAAACAUCAGGUUCGGUUUGGUUUUUAAAUCAAGCACCACAUUUGUACGAUUUCUGUAGGACCUACACAUCCCAGCAUCUGCUUCCCCACUCAGUAACAGUGAGCUCUGCUGACAGAGCCAGCGACGCCGACACUGACAGACAAAUCCAUCCUGACACGACAAAGCGUUACACAACCAAACACUGCAAUUCACAGCAGAAACAAAAAAAAGAAAGGGAAAAAAAAAAAAACCACAACAGGCUGUUUUAAACUUAACCAUAUUGGAAACGCAGGGGGUUCUUUAACCUCCUGCUUGCCAAAUGAGAAGCCCACUUACCAUUGCCUUGGAGCAGCACUACGGAAACAAGUGCAAUACGUGGCCUUUGGCAGUGUUUAAAUUAAAACAA
This is a long non-coding RNA of Anas platyrhynchos (mallard), 1542 nucleotides long. RefSeq lists it as uncharacterized. The record is from RefSeq and is a predicted model, not a curated record. Lineage: Eukaryota; Metazoa; Chordata; Aves; Anseriformes; Anatidae.